CUAGUUGGUAGGGUAACGGCCUACCAAGGCGACGAUCCGUAGCUGGUCUGAGAGGACGACCAGCCACACUGGGACUGAGACACGGCCCAGACUCCUACGGGAGGCAGCAGUGGGGAAUAUUGGACAAUGGGGGCAACCCUGAUCCAGCGACGCCGCGUGUGUGAAGAAGGCCUGCGGGUUGUAAAGCACUUUUAGUGGGGAUGAAAAGCACAGGUCUAAUACAUCUGUGUCUUGACCUAACCCAAAGAAAAAGCACCGGCUAACUCUGUGCCAGCAGCCGCGGUAAUACAGAGGGUGCGAGCGUUAAUCGGAAUUACUGGGCGUAAAGCGUGCGUAGACGGUUAUUUAAGUCGGGUGUGAAAGCCCCGGGCUCAACCUGGGAAUUGCAUUCGAGACUGAAUAGCUAGGGUACGGUAGAGGGAAGCGGAAUUUCCGGUGUAGCGGUGAAAUGCGUAGAUAUCGGAAGGAACAUCAGUGGCGAAAGCGGCUUCCUGGACCAGUACCGACGUUCA
RNAcentral lists this ribosomal RNA (512 nucleotides) under uncultured Gammaproteobacteria bacterium. Its description in RNAcentral is "SSU rRNA". It matches the Rfam family "Bacterial small subunit ribosomal RNA", at positions 245 to 749 of the family's 1533-position model. The record is from RNAcentral. Lineage: Bacteria; Pseudomonadati; Pseudomonadota; Gammaproteobacteria.